This 1489-nucleotide ribosomal RNA is filed under the name Lactiplantibacillus plantarum. Its description in RNAcentral is "bacterial SSU rRNA". It matches the Rfam family "Bacterial small subunit ribosomal RNA". Lineage: Bacteria; Bacillati; Bacillota; Bacilli; Lactobacillales; Lactobacillaceae. The record is from RNAcentral.
GACGAACGCUGGCGGCGUGCCUAAUACAUGCAAGUCGAACGAACUCUGGUAUUGAUUGGUGCUUGCAUCAUGAUUUACAUUUGAGUGAGUGGCGAACUGGUGAGUAACACGUGGGAAACCUGCCCAGAAGCGGGGGAUAACACCUGGAAACAGAUGCUAAUACCGCAUAACAACUUGGACCGCAUGGUCCGAGUUUGAAAGAUGGCUUCGGCUAUCACUUUUGGAUGGUCCCGCGGCGUAUUAGCUAGAUGGUGGGGUAACGGCUCACCAUGGCAAUGAUACGUAGCCGACCUGAGAGGGUAAUCGGCCACAUUGGGACUGAGACACGGCCCAAACUCCUACGGGAGGCAGCAGUAGGGAAUAUUCCACAAUGGACGAAAGUCUGAUGGAGCAACGCCGCGUGAGUGAAGAAGGGUUUCGGCUCGUAAAACUCUGUUGUUAAAGAAGAACAUAUCUGAGAGUAACUGUUCAGGUAUUGACGGUAUUUAACCAGAAAGCCACGGCUAACUACGUGCCAGCAGCCGCGGUAAUACGUAGGUGGCAAGCGUUGCCCGGAUUUAUUGGGCGUAAAGCGAGCGCAGGCGGUUUUUUAAGUCUGAUGUGAAAGCCUUCGGCUCAACCGAAGAAGUGCAUCGGAAACUGGGAAACUUGAGUGCAGAAGAGGACAGUGGAACUCCAUGUGUAGCGGUGAAAUGCGUAGAUAUAUGGAAGAACACCAGUGGCGAAGGCGGCUGUCUGGUCUGUAACUGACGCUGAGGCUCGAAAGUAUGGGUAGCAAACAGGAUUAGAUACCCUGGUAGUCCAUACCGUAAACGAUGAAUGCUAAGUGUUGGAGGGUUUCCGCCCUUCAGUGCUGCAGCUAACGCAUUAAGCAUUCCGCCUGGGGAGUACGGCCGCAAGGCUGAAACUCAAAGGAAUUGACGGGGGCCCGCACAAGCGGUGGAGCAUGUGGUUUAAUUCGAAGCUACGCGAAGAACCUUACCAGGUCUUGACAUACUAUGCAAAUCUAAGAGAUUAGACGUUCCCUUCGGGGACAUGGAUACAGGUGGUGCAUGGUUGUCGUCAGCUCGUGUCGUGAGAUGUUGGGUUAAGUCCCGCAACGAGCGCAACCCUUAUUAUCAGUUGCCAGCAUUAAGUUGGGCACUCUGGUGAGACUGCCGGUGACAAACCGGAGGAAGGUGGGGAUGACGUCAAAUCAUCAUGCCCCUUAUGACCUGGGCUACACACGUGCUACAAUGGAUGGUACAACGAGUUGCGAACUCGCGAGAGUAAGCUAAUCUCUUAAAGCCAUUCUCAGUUCGGAUUGUAGGCUGCAACUCGCCUACAUGAAGUCGGAAUCGCUAGUAAUCGCGGAUCAGCAUGCCGCGGUGAAUACGUUCCCGGGCCUUGUACACACCGCCCGUCACACCAUGAGAGUUUGUAACACCCAAAGUCGGUGGGGUAACCUUUUAGGAACUAGCCGCCUAAGGUGGGACAGAUGAUUAGGGUG